This 233-nucleotide non-coding RNA is filed under the name Ureibacillus massiliensis. RNAcentral describes it as "Lysinibacillus massiliensis T-box sequence". It matches the Rfam family "T-box leader". Rfam says of the family: Uncharged tRNA acts as the effector for transcription antitermination of genes in the T-box leader family. T-boxes are found upstream of many aminoacyl-tRNA synthetase genes and some amino acid biosynthetic genes usually in Gram-positive bacteria. The anticodon of a specific tRNA base pairs to a specifier sequence within the T-box motif, and the NCCA acceptor tail of the tRNA base pairs to a conserved bulge in the T-box antiterminator hairpin. The record is from RNAcentral. Lineage: Bacteria; Bacillati; Bacillota; Bacilli; Caryophanales; Caryophanaceae.
AAAAAUAUAACGACGGAGACAUACUUAGUCGUGUGAAUUUAAAGAGAGCUGAUGGUUGGUGUAAAUCAGCAAUUCAACGGUUAAUGUUCCACUCCCGAAUAGAUAUGCUGAAUUUUAUAGUAGGCUUAUCCGAAUCAUACACGUUACGUAUAUGCGGAGGUUGUACUAAUUACUGUACAACAAAUUAGGGUGGUACCACGAAGGAAUGUUAACAAUAGCCUUUCGUCCCUUAC